RNAcentral lists this small nuclear RNA (20 nucleotides) under Arabidopsis thaliana (thale cress). RNAcentral describes it as "snRNA_08889". The record is from RNAcentral. Lineage: Eukaryota; Viridiplantae; Streptophyta; Magnoliopsida; Brassicales; Brassicaceae.
UCACGUCGUUCGUUCUGCGG